Small nucleolar RNA from Chanos chanos (milkfish), 307 nucleotides. Lineage: Eukaryota; Metazoa; Chordata; Actinopteri; Gonorynchiformes; Chanidae. The record is from RefSeq and is a predicted model, not a curated record.
GCCCAGUGAUGAUACCAAGGCGAAUGUGAGCUCUCUGAAUAGGAGUCCGGGCUCUCCUGUGCUCCUAUUGGCCGGUAAUCUUGGCAGGGCAGUGGAGAUUUGCUGCUCUGCUGUAAGGGCCCGCCUACAUUCACUAAGCCCCUCCCCUCACGCUUUCCUCAAGAAAUUCGGUUGGUUGAGACAGAGGUGCUUACACUGUGUGUGUGUGUGUGUGUGCGUGUGUGUGUGUGGACGGACGCAGAGGAGAUUCUCAGGUCUCUGUAGUAUUCAGUGAGCAGUGAACUGUUUCUUUGGUAAUCUGAGGGCG